RNAcentral lists this ribosomal RNA (334 nucleotides) under uncultured bacterium. Its description in RNAcentral is "bacterial SSU rRNA". It matches the Rfam family "Bacterial small subunit ribosomal RNA", at positions 568 to 898 of the family's 1533-position model. The record is from RNAcentral.
CGUGUAGGCGGCCAAUUUAAGUCAGGCGUGAAAUCUCUGGGCUUAACCCAGAAAUUGCGUUUGAAACUGGAAGGCUUGAGGAUCGGAGAGGGCAGUGGAAUUCCCAGUGUAGCGGUGAAAUGCGUAGAUAUUGGGAGGAACACCAGUGGCGAAGGCGACUGCCUGGACGACACCUGACGCUGAGGCGCGGAAAGCUAGGGGAGCAAACGGGAUUAGAUACCCCGGUAGUCCUAGCCGUAAACGAUGGGUACUAGGUGUGGGAGGUAUCGACCCCUUCCGUGCCGCAGUUAACACAAUAAGUACCCCGCCUGGGGAGUACGGCCGCAAGGUUGAA